RNAcentral lists this ribosomal RNA (301 nucleotides) under uncultured bacterium. RNAcentral describes it as "partial 16S ribosomal RNA". It matches the Rfam family "Bacterial small subunit ribosomal RNA", at positions 509 to 807 of the family's 1533-position model. The record is from RNAcentral.
CAGCCGCCGCGGGAAUACGGAGGGAGCUAGCGUUGUUCGGAAUUACUGGGCGUAAAGCGCACGUAGGCGGCUAUUCAAGUCAGGGGUGAAAGCCCGGGGCUCAACCCCGGAACUGCCUUUGAAACUAGAUAGCUUGAAUCUUGGAGAGGCGAGUGGAAUUCCGAGUGUAGAGGUGAAAUUCGUAGAUAUUCGGAAGAACACCAGUGGCGAAGGCGACUCGCUGGACAAGUAUUGACGCUGAGGUGCGAAAGCGUGGGGAGCAAACAGGAUUAGAUACCCCAGUAGUCCCUGUCUCUUAUAC